CUCAAAAUAACAUACUCAUCAUGACACAUCUUGUUCAUAGAACCACAAAGUGGUUGACCAAUGAUAGCAGAAGGGAUUCAAUGUUAAUUGGAGCAACGCUUAUAUGAGAGGAAACUAUAUAAGUAGAAUUAUAUGUCAUAUAAAUAUAGCAUUCUACACAAAUUAGUCAAACCCCAAUUAUCGGAGCUUAUAAGGGGGGAGAAUAUCUCAUAAGGUUAAGUAAUCAUUGUCACAGUAAGUAUUCAACCAUACUGGAAUUAUUUUAAGAAACAAAUCAAUCAUCCAUGGAGAUAAGCUUUUCUUAUUAUUCAAGGAAAAAUACCAUUUGACCCCCUCAAAUUUUAAUGUUUUUCACAUGGACACCAUCUUGUUUAAAAAUUUGCAACCGAGUCCCUCAACUUAUUCUUCGGAUGCAAUGUAUAGCUGUGGCGCAAAGAGUGACCAAUAAUAAGGUUGCUCUAUUAUGACCUCAAACUCAUGAGUUCAAAAUAUAGAACAGCCUCUGCAUGUUGGGGUCCGGCUGCGUAUAGACCUUAUAAUAGUGGAAGCCACAUGCACUGGGAUGCCUUUUUUUCUCAUAUACAGCUAUGGCAUAACCCCUUAAUGCCAUUAACAGUGGGUGUUAAAAGACCAAAAUGCACUCAUUUCUUGUCCGAAUAUUGCAAGAACACGGUCAAAAGUUUUUACUGUAAAUAGUGCAGGAAUGGAUGAAGAUUUGAUCACAGUUGAAGUACACCAUUGUAGAUCACUACAGUUCACUCCAACCAUGCACUACAGUGGGGGGUUCAUAUCUCACUAUGACACUUGUGAUCUGAAGAAGAUUUCCUGGAUGAAAUUGAAGAUAUGACAAAAGUCCGGGUUAUAUGAAUUGUUCCAAUUUCUACUAAUCUGGUGCCAGACACGAGCCUAGAAAAUGGUUUGAAACCAAUGAAUGAUGAUAAAUGAGCUGGACACGUUGCAAGCUAUCCAAGAAAGAGCACCAUGUACAAGAACCAGUGGAUUGCCAAUAUAUUCCACUACCUCUUCCUUCCUCACAGCCAUCAACAUAGGAUGAUGAUGGUCAUUUUACCAAGUUAAGGCAAAGGAUAUGAACGGUUAGUGUAGCAGGGGAUCUCAAUGAUCAUGGGGUUGGACAAGUGGAUGUCAAUGAUGGUGGACAAGCUAAAAGAGCAAAAGCUGCAAAGUAUGGAGGAAAGGGUGAAAGACCAUAAGCAAGGAUUGCCAAACCGGUACCGGGUGCCGUACCGGACGGCGCCCGGUCUGGUUCGGUACUGGUUCGAACCGGAGGAAACCGUCUGGUUUCGUCCGGUUCUAUCUAGUACCGGCCGGUUCUAGCCGGUGUUACUGUGGUUCCGGCCUGGUUUCCAUAAGUAAACCAACCCGGUCAGAGACCGGGUCGGCUCGGUUUGGCCCAAACUAGGCGGUACGGCCUGGUUCGGCAAUCAUUGACCAUAGGUUAUAGAUGUGGGUGUUAAAAUGACUGGUGCACAGGAAGGGUCUAUGGCAAAGGAUGGUUGCUAGAUUCCCAGUCAUGGUUUUGUCAAUGUAAAUGUUCAGGUAUCUGCAUAUGGAGGGGUUGGUGGACAAGGUGAUGCAUAGGGUACAACCAUGGCGGUUCAAGUUAUUGGUGGGUAGCUGUGGGAAGAGACUUGUUAAAGAAGAUGGUGAAGACAGUAAUGAGGGUAGCGACAAUGAAAGUGAUGCUAGCAUGGCACUAAAUGAUCUUCAGGAGACCGAUGAGGAUGAUGAUGAUUCGUUCAGGGAGCAUACUAAUAAAACAGUUAUUGAGGAGAAUCUGAAAGUGAUUGCUGGAAAGUGGAUGCAAGAGCAACUAUUCACAAGAGGCUGAAGAUUCUGGACUAGCAGCCAAGGAACCAAAAUUAGAGGAUGGUAGUGAUAUUAGAAGCCUUAGUAGCUCCUCAGGUUCUGAUGGGGAACAUCCUAGUGUCUAAGAGUAUCCAGAACUCAAUUCAACAUCAGAUUUGAAGAAGCCUACAAAGCUUCAAGUUAGAAUGCACUUCGACCCUCAUGUUGUGUUCAAGGAGGCACUCAGGAAGCCAAGUAUUCAAGAAGGUUUUGACUACACCUAUAAGCACAACAAUAAGUUCAAAGUCACAACAAUAUGCAAGAGAGUUGUGAAUGGAGGAUACAUGCUUCUCCAAUGCUGAGAGAGGCAACAUUUCAAAUCAAGACCAAUGAGGCAACAUACAAGUGUUGCAAAUAAUCCAGAAAUCAAAAUGUCAGUUCCAAAUGGCUUGCUCAGACCUACUUAGAUUAGACAACAAACUUAAAGUUCAAGCUUUCAUUGAUAGAGUGAGGAGAGACUAUAAGGUUUUCAUAUAAAGACAUAGGCUUAUAAGAAAAAAUCAAGAUCAUACAUGGGCACAUAGGGAACAGUAUGCUAAGCUAUAGGAGUUCUAUCACAUCAUCAGCUCAACAAACCCUUGCUCCACCAUAAAGAUGGUUAACAUACAAAGACUUGGUGUAAAACCCAUUUUUAAGAGACUUUAAGUGGGUUAGGAUGCUCGCAAGAAGGGCUUGAUAAAAGGAUGCAAACCCAUUAUUGGAAGGUUGCCACCUAAAAGAUUCUAUGGGAGGACAAUUGCUAGUAGUUGUUGCGAACAUGGUUAGCCAUACCGACCCGAACCAGGCAGUACGGGGCGUAUUAUACCAUAUUGGUUCAGUACCAGUAUCCGAUACAGGUGGCGUAUCGACACUCGAUACAUCAAAAGGAUUCCAUACCGACAUAGUGCUAGUGUGACACCAGUACGGGGUUCGGUACCAAGAUGACAAACUUUGGUCGGAAAGGAUAAAAAUGAAAAUAGUUUUCCAACUGCAUGUUUUGUGCCAGAAGCUGGGACAAAGGAUAGGUAGAUGCAGUUUGUCACUGAUCUAUUGACAAACAUUAGAUCUAUAAAGAGAACGAAUGGACCUUUAUGUCUUAUAUAUAUAUGUGUGUGUGAUUUAUGUAUGUAUGCAUGCAUGCAUGCAUGCAUGCAUGUAUGUAUAAGUUAAUUGAUUCCCUCAAAAUCUUAUUUGUUUGCCUCAUUAUUAGCUCCAUUAUUGACACUAAGGUCUUCUUAUUUCAUGACUGGUUGGUCAACUACUUUAUACAAAUUUCGUGUUGGGCACAUGCAUACCAGCUUCAAGACAAUUUACAAGGGCGGUAACUUCAGAAUUGCUCUCUUUGCUGCUGCAAAAGCACAUAUUUCUCAGGAGUUUGCUGUAGAGAUGAAAGAAGAGAGAAAAUUGGAUGAGAAUGCAGCUGCACGGUUGAUGGACAACAAGCUGGAAUUGUGAGACAGACAUACCUUCGAGGUCCAAGUCAAACAAGAUAUUGAACAACAUAUGUGCAAGUUUUAACGGUUACAUCUUUGCCAAUAAUUUCUAUGCUUGAAACAAUUAGGAGGCUACUAAUACAAAGAUUUCAAGCAAGGAGAGAAGGGGUGAUGAAAUAUGAAGGACCCACAUGUCCUUAGAUUCAAAAGAAGCUUGAGGAGGAGAUGAUGGAUGCAAUGGAAUAGUAGUGUUCAUGGGGAGGGGGUACCAGAUAUGAGAUAGAUCAUCCAAAUGGCAGAUUUUUGUUGAACUUAAAAUAAUGAAUCUGUGGAUGCAUGAAGUGGGAUUUGAUAGGAAUCUCCUGCCGCCAUGCAGUGCCAGCUAUAACAUUCAUGAGAUAGGACAAUGAGGACUUUGUGAGUGCAUAUUACUCCAAGUGUCUGGAAUUAAGUUUUGACAACCAAACACUUUUUGAGCCACCUCAAACAGCACCACUUAGAAGACAUCUAGAAAGACCCAAGAAUAAAGGUGAAGGGUGGAAGAUGAAGAAAAGUAUCCUCAAAAGGUUAAGACAAGGGGUAAUUUGCUCAGGUGUGGGAAUUGCUUGGAGUGGGGGCAUAAUUCCAAGACCUGUAAAGAAGGACAAGCAUCCAAAUAAGAUUAUUCCAAGGAAAACGGGACAAAGGAGUUCAAGUCAGCCAGAGAAAUUCAAGAGAAAACCUGGAAGAUCAAGGAAAAUGAGUCAUCAAGCACCUCAGGGACAAAGAAAUGAGGCUGCCGAAGCAAGUUCAAAUGUCAAUCCAGAAGUAGGGGAACUUUUAAACCAAGUGGUGAGUCAGGGUAGCUUUUAGAUCAGGUGGUGGAGCAAGUCCAUCAAAGAAUUCUACUUCUUUUACAAGUGCAUCUCAGAUAAUUUAUUCAAUUCCUAAUUACUGCUUA
Non-coding RNA from Phoenix dactylifera (date palm), 4218 nucleotides. The record is from RefSeq and is a predicted model, not a curated record. Lineage: Eukaryota; Viridiplantae; Streptophyta; Magnoliopsida; Arecales; Arecaceae.